AUGCCGGCGCCGGCGCAAGAAGCGGACGACGACUUCACCUUCCCCACGCCGCCGCCGCUCCUCGCCGCAGCCGCGUGCAGCUACGGCCACCACCGCCACAACAACAGGGUGUCGCCGUCGCCGUCGCCCUCCUCCUCCCCGCUUCCCGCGUGGCUGCUCUCCUCGCCCAUCCGCCGCAGCUUCUCCGCCGCGGACUGCGCCGCGUCGCCGUGGCGCGCGGCGCGCGGCAGGUGCUGCUCCCCCGCCCUGAGCGACUAUGCCGCCGGGUUCUGCGACGGCGGGGACGAAGAGGAGGAGAUGAUGGACAGCCUCUGGGAGGACCUCAACGACGACGAGGCGCCGGGCGGGGAGAGGAACGAUCUGCUCAUCGCCUCCCUCGACGUGUCGCGCCGGCGCUCCGUCGGAGGCCCGGGCCACCCCGUCGACGGGAGGAGGCCGACGGCCCCGGCGAAGGAGCGCGAGGCCGCGGCGGUGCUCGCGGCGUCGAGGAGCUCCCGACGGCGCUCCCCGGGGCUGGUGGUGAUGAUGCGCGCGCUCAAGAAGAUGUUCGUCGCGCACAAGAGCAGGAGCAAAGUGCACAAGGUCGACGAGCAGAGCACCGCCUCUGCUUCUUCCGGCAAUUCCUUCAAGAAAUGA
This 636-nucleotide ribosomal RNA is filed under the name Triticum aestivum (bread wheat). RNAcentral describes it as "partial small subunit ribosomal RNA". The record is from RNAcentral. Lineage: Eukaryota; Viridiplantae; Streptophyta; Magnoliopsida; Poales; Poaceae.